CCCUACGGGGGGCAGCAGUGGGGAGUAUUGCACAAUGGGGGGAACCCUGAUGCAGCGACGCCGCGUGGGCGAUGAAGUAUUUCGGCGUGUAAAGCUCUAUCAGCAGGGAAGAAAAUGACGGUACCUGACGAAGAAGCCCUGGCUAACUACGUGCCAGCAGCCGCGGUAAUACGUAGGGGGCAAGCGUUAUCCGGAUUUACUGGGUGUAAAGGGGGCGCAGACGGUGAUGCAAGCCAGAUGUGAAAGCCCGGGGCUCAACCCCGGGACUGCAUUUGGAACUGCGAGGCUGGAGUGCCGGAGGGGCG
RNAcentral lists this ribosomal RNA (305 nucleotides) under uncultured bacterium. RNAcentral's name for it is "bacterial SSU rRNA". It matches the Rfam family "Bacterial small subunit ribosomal RNA", at positions 337 to 659 of the family's 1533-position model. The record is from RNAcentral.